Monopterus albus (swamp eel) is the source of this 750-nucleotide long non-coding RNA. RefSeq lists it as uncharacterized. Lineage: Eukaryota; Metazoa; Chordata; Actinopteri; Synbranchiformes; Synbranchidae. The transcript is spliced from 4 exons. The record is from RefSeq and is a predicted model, not a curated record.
UCAUCAUCUCAUCAGUGUCUUCUGAGAUACCACAUAGCUGAGGCAAAUUACCUAUCACCAACGGCAGUACUUAAGACGCUGGCGCACGAUCACUCCUCGCUAGGACGUUGACGAAUCCCUUCUCAUCCUUUGGCCUCAUCAUACAAGAAGCUACGCUCGCUCAGCAACACUUUGAGUAUCACGCUACUAAAAAGUAAGACUGUUUAAUCCUCACUUACAUCUGCCUAUACUCCUAGGUUUCCCGUCAUUACUCCAGCAAUCUGCACCUCUGACACUCGCCGUUCUGCCUCUGCCUGAGUGACCUGCUGCCAAUUAUCUCUCCUCUUCAUCUUCCUCGAGCCCAGCCAUCUCCGCUCUACCCCACCUUAGUUCACCAGCUAUACUCACCUGUCUGAGCUUGUCUUCGUUUCCUCCAUUUGUCCUGCAUUGCCACCUCCAGCUUCCCAACUGUGGACCCCCUCGAGUACCAUACCAUGACUGUCCGUGAUUCCACACUGCCUCUGAACAUCUGCCAGUGUGCUGACACCGUGGUCAUAUGACAGCAAGUUCACAUACUGUAUAUGAAUGAAGACUUGGUGAGGACUUUGAAUCAGAAUGUGCUUUAUUGGCCAGGUGUGUCGGACACAUGAGGAAUUUGACUCUGGUACAUCGGCUGUCAAAGUGCAUGUACCCAUGCAAGGGGUACGUAAACAGUAAACCAACAUAAGGGUGUAUAAUAUAACAAAAUAAGCAGUAUUAGCAGCAACAAAC